GAUGAACGCUGGCGGCGUGCUUAAUACAUGCAAGUCGAGCGGACAGACGAGGAUCUUGCUCCUCUGACGUUAGCGGCGGACGGGUGAGUCACACGUGGAUAACCUACCUAUAUGACUGGGAUAACUUCGAGAAACCGGAGCUAAUACCGGAUAAUCUCUUGAACCGCAUGGUUCAAUAGAGAAUGACGGUUUUGCUGUCACUUCUCGAUGGAUCCGCGCCGCAUUAGGUAGUUGGUAAGGUAACGGCUUACCAAGGCAACGAUGCGUAGCCGACCUGAGAGGGUGAUCGGCCACACUGGAACUGAGACACGGUCCAGAGUCCUACGGGAGGCAGCAGUAGGGAAUCGUCCGCAAUGGGCGAAAGCUUGACGGAGCAACGCCGCGUGAGUGAUGAAGGUCUUCGGAUCGUAAAACUCUGUUAUUAGGGAAGAACAAAUGUGUAAGUAACGAUGCACGUCGUGACGGUACCUAAUCAGAAAGCCACGGCUAACUACGUG
RNAcentral lists this ribosomal RNA (497 nucleotides) under uncultured bacterium. RNAcentral describes it as "partial 16S ribosomal RNA". It matches the Rfam family "Bacterial small subunit ribosomal RNA", at positions 28 to 507 of the family's 1533-position model. The record is from RNAcentral.